GUAGACAUCUUUAACAAUUUUAAGAGUUGCUUGAUGUGAAGGAAGAAGAAUCGAAAUCCAAUAUUUUAAGUGCAAGAAAAAAAAAAGAAAGACGUGAUGAACAGUAACAGUGUUGAAAAUGACAUGGAAAUCUGAGAAAAGGCAUCAAUUAUGCAUAUUCUCCGACAAGGUUUGCCCUAUGAUCUCAGUCCAAGUAGCAAAAUUUGGUCAACUUUUAUGAAUAUGGAUGAAUGAAGAAUAUUCCGAUUCAAUGGCAUCUUAGAAUACUUGGUAGACUUUCUGUAUCCCUAUAAUAGAAUAGAAUAGAAUAACACCACCCAAAUUUCCACGUGCAUCCCCUUAAUCAAUCAUAACCUCUCUCCCUAACAACUUUAACAACAUUUCAUUAUAUCCUCUACUUUCAACUCUCAUUCUCCCCUUUCACCAACAUCUUUGUCCCCUUAACUUUGCUGCAUUCUUUUCUACUUU
RNAcentral lists this long non-coding RNA (468 nucleotides) under Vigna radiata. RNAcentral describes it as "long non-coding RNA (VRAD_LNC011884)". Lineage: Eukaryota; Viridiplantae; Streptophyta; Magnoliopsida; Fabales; Fabaceae. The record is from RNAcentral.